UAGUCCACGCCGUAAACGAUGUACACUAGGUCCGGGAGGCUCUGACGCCCUCCGGUCCGAAGCUAAAGUGUUAAGUGUACCGCCUGGGGAGUACGGUCGCAAGGCUAAAACUCAAAGGAAUUGACGGGGGCUCACACAAGCGGUGGAGCAUGUGGCUUAAUUCGAGGCAACGCGAAGAACCUUAUCCUGGGUUUGACAUGUAAGAAUUAGCUGCCUGAAAGGGCAGUGACGCGGUUUACCGUGGAACUUACACAGGUGCUGCAUGGCUGUCGUCAGCUCGUGCCGUGAGGUGUCGGGUUAAGUCCCUCAACGAGCGAAACCCCUGCCGUUAGUUGCUAACAGGUAAUGCUGAGGACUCUAGCGGGACUGCCGGUGUCAAACCGGAGGAAGGUGGGGAUGACGUCAAGUCCUCAUGGCCUUUAUGCCCAGGGCUGCACACGUGCUACAAUGGCAACGACAAAGCGACGCAAUACCGCAAGGUGGAGCAAAUCGCAUAAACGUUGCCCCAGUUCGGAUUGUGGU
Molecule: ribosomal RNA, 522 nt
Filed under: uncultured bacterium
Lineage: Bacteria
Description: bacterial SSU rRNA
Rfam family: Bacterial small subunit ribosomal RNA
Source: RNAcentral